UUUUGCCAGGAACAGGAAAGGAAUGGAGUCUUAGAACUUAGGAGAAUGUAUUUGGAUUCUGCAGAGUUAUUGCUGCUUUGUGAUCUAAAGUGAGUAACAGCAUGAAUAGCAACUAGACAAACAGAAGUUCACUGGGAUAGAACUAAGAACCAAAGUGAAAGUGGCAUAAGAGCUGGUAUGUGAAGACGAUACAUGAGGUUGUCAAAUGGAGGAUCACAGGGCUGGAGUGAUGUGAGAAAUUUAUGCAGUGAAUAAGAAAAGACACAUGCCAUAGGACAAGAGAAGAUACAGUAUUGUUGAAGAUAAAAGGCAGCACAGAACUGCAAAGCAAAUAUCAUGAUGCCCAUCUGAGCCUCUUAUCAGCUUAAUCAGAAGUAUCAACCCCUUGAAAUGGAGAGGUAAUUCAGAUGUCUCUAAUGGAUGUUGUUUCAAACUCACUGCGGACUCAGGAAGAAAGAACUGAAUUGGAUACACUUGUGUUACAUUUUAAGGUUAUCUUUGCCAUUAUAUCUGCUAAAGAUUUUUUUUUUAAAUGAAAGGUUAGAUUCUGGAGCAGAAGAUCACAGCCUCCAGAAAAAGAACCACUUUACCAACCCACUGCAAGCCAUCCUAAAUAUUCUCCUUCUAGAGUAGUUUUUAACAUUGUAAAACAUGAAAUUAAGACAAUCCAUUAUUUUGCAUUCUACUCAUCUAAGGCUGAUUAGUGCA
Long non-coding RNA from Chelonia mydas (Green sea turtle), 708 nucleotides. RefSeq lists it as uncharacterized. The transcript has 6 exons. The record is from RefSeq and is a predicted model, not a curated record. Lineage: Eukaryota; Metazoa; Chordata; Testudines; Cheloniidae.